Molecule: ribosomal RNA, 769 nt
Filed under: uncultured bacterium
Lineage: Bacteria
Description: bacterial SSU rRNA
Rfam family: Bacterial small subunit ribosomal RNA
Source: RNAcentral
UUCGCGCGAUCGCCUUGAGUUGAUCAUGGCUCAGAUUGAACGCUGGCGGAAUGCUUCACACAUGCAAGUCGAGCGGCAGCGCGGGGCAACCUGGCGGCGAGCGGCGAACGGAUGAGUAAUGCAUCGGAACAUGUCCAUUCGUGGGGGAUAGCCCGGCGAAAGCCGGAUUAAUACCGCAUACGCCCGAGAGGGGAAAGCCGGGGACCGCAAGGCCUGGCGCGAUUGGGUUGGCCGAUGUCCGAUUAGCUAGUUGGCGGGGUAAAGGCCCACCAAGGCGAUGAUCGGUAGCUGGUCUGAGAGGGUGAUCAGCCACACUGGGACUGAGACACGGCCCAGACUCCUACGGGAGGCAGCAGUGGGGAAUUUUGGACAAUGGGGGAAACCCUGAUCCAGCCAUUCCGCGUGAGUGAAGAAGGCCUUCGGGUUGUAAAGCUCUUUUGUCCGGAACGAAACGGUGGACGUGAAUAUCGUCCGCUACUGACGGUACCGGAAGAAUAAGCACCGGCUAACUACGUGCCAGCAGCCGCGGUAAUACGUAGGGUGCGAGCGUUAAUCGGAAUUACUGGGCGUAAAGCGUGCGCAGGCGGUUUUGUAAGCCAGAUGUGAAAUCCCCGGGCUUAACCUGGGAAUGGCAUUUGGGACUGCAAGGCUUGAGUGCGGCAGAGGAGACUGGAAUUCCUGGUGUAGCAGUGAAAUGCGUAGAUAUCAGGAGGAAUACCGAUGGCGAAGGCAGGUCUCUGGGCUGACACUGACGCUCAUGCACGAAAGC